Long non-coding RNA from Brassica napus (rape), 1438 nucleotides. RefSeq lists it as uncharacterized. The transcript is spliced from 4 exons. The record is from RefSeq and is a predicted model, not a curated record. NCBI's taxonomy places the organism in Eukaryota, Viridiplantae, Streptophyta, Magnoliopsida, Brassicales, Brassicaceae.
CAAACCGGAUUCAAUCAAUGUCAUUAAAGUUUUCCUUAACUUCAUCUCCCCCACUCCUUCCAUGAUUCUUCAGCUCCCACCUAGCUUCCAGUCGGUGAAACUACAUAUAUAAAUAGGAAGCCCGAGACUUCACGGCGGAAGAUAAUCGUCGAAAAGGAGUGCGGCGCAGUAGGAGGAAGAAAGCGGCGGCGAUGGAGGAGAGAAAGAGGAUGAAAGCGGUUAAGAAUAAAGAGAAAGCCUUUGAUGAUAAUGAGGAAAGGUAUUAAUGGUGAGUUGGACGGAGGUUUCUGCAUAAAGUAGGCCUUUCUGACCAUCUCUCUCUGUUCUUCUCUAUUGGUUUCAAUUGGUCGAUCUAUCAUAGGUAUGCUUUUCUUUUAUCGAUGUGUCACGUUAGGUAUUUCGUGAUGCUGGUAGCUUUUAUUUAAGGAAUUCCUUGAUUUAAAGGCUAUUUCAUUGGCUAGCUUGAAGCAUUUUUAUUUGCCGGUGGUUUCAGAGUUUACCGGCGUGUUUCUAAGUCGGUGGUGAAUGUGUCUUUUGCAUAUGUGUGUUGAGAGUUCUUUUUGGGUUCUUUAGGUUAUGCUUGAUAGUUGAUACUGUGGGACCUGAUUUGCAUGGUAUCAACAAUUCUGAGAAAGCUAUUGUUCUUCUGAAGAAGCCUCUUCUGAAGUCCUUCCCGUUAAUUUAUUGCCAACGUCCAUUCUCUAUGAGAAUGAGUUGAUAUUAUAUAUCUAAUCAAUGGUUUAGUUUGUUUGCUUUUAGUUAGUUUAUUUUAAAAUUCUUCUUUUUAAGUUUCAUAUCAUGUAUAUGUAGUUCCUUAUUAUGUUUAACCAGGGAAGCUUGAAGAUCAUCAACCACCACCCCUACUUCAAAUAGAGUUACAAAACGUAGACAUAUUCUCAGUCGUCGAUAGGUGCUCAGGAGGUGGUGACGGUGAGAGAUCAGCUGGAGAAGAAGGAGCGAGAUCCAUGAUUAUCGAGUGAGAGGAGACAGAGCCAGAGAUUAACGACGCACAAGCAGAGACUUUGGACCUUGGAGUGAAGACCAGAUCUCCAAUCGAAAUCAAUGGUCAGAAUCGUCUCCGCUUAUGAACGACGGGGCCGAGAUUCACACGUGUAACUAACCACUGUUCCCGUAAGGAUCAAAAGCAAAAUCGAGCUUGCAAGAAAAUCCAUAGCAAUACCAGUGAGAGAGAGACCAGAACUCAGAGGUUUGUCCACUUUGGGUCAAGAUCAGAGAGAUAAUACAAUCAUUUUUUGCAAUGUGUAAUCUUUUUAUUCGUGUACAAACGUCAACUUUGCUUAAAUGAUUAUCUUUCCUAUGCCAUUAGUCGGGUUGUAUCAGUGAGGCCCAAUUUUUUUUUCUAAAAUUACAGGUGAAGCUAGACAAACAAUUUUUUUGGUUAAUGAUAUGACACUUACAAGGGAAGAAAUUGGUUUUU